GUUAUGCAAUGCUCUGAAGAAUACCUUGGGAUUCUUUCCGGCGGCUCUGAACGCAGGUGUGUGGCAGCGCUCACACUCUUGCCAGGAAAGCUGACUUCUUUUCAUCCUUUUCCAGGCUGGACUAAAAUUACAUAGUGUGACUGCACGUAGGUCGCUGCGUUUGGAAUUACAGCAUGUCAACGUGAGAAAGCCUCUUCAGACGGCUGCCACAAGGAGUAAAUCAAAGGCUGGGCUUUUCGGAAGUCUUCAUAAAUAACUAAGUAUAACUGAAUAAAACCAGGAGCUCUUUGCCUUUUUUUUUUUAUUUUUUUUUUUUUUUUUUAAAGCAAAACCGAACCGCAUUCAUUUCGUUGCUCUGCAUCAUCUAAGGGAAAAAAAAUCCUCAAUUUUAAUGAGAAUUAGUCAACAGUGAGGAUCGUUACCAGGAAGGGUUUUCACUGUUUUUCGACUGCCCUUGCUGUAGUGGAUUACUGAGAGAAGGCCAGUCAUUCGGAAGAUUCUGUAACAUUAUUAUCCUCGCCGAUGAACUUCUUCAUCAAGAAACUGUUCAUGCUCCUAUCUGGUCUGUCUGAGGGAGGAAACCAGCCCCUUCAUGAAGAUAAAAGCCUCGUUUGCCACUGAAUCGACGAGUAAGAAGCAUGUCUGAUGACAUUUUAUUCCUGAUGCAAUGUAGGCUAGCUGCCAGAAUACUGGUGAAGGUAUUUGCAGGAAAAAUGGGGACCUCUGCAAUCACAACACUGGAAGAUGUAAAAAGGCAAGAGGAGAAA
This is a long non-coding RNA of Pterocles gutturalis (yellow-throated sandgrouse), 767 nucleotides long. RefSeq lists it as uncharacterized. NCBI's taxonomy places the organism in Eukaryota, Metazoa, Chordata, Aves, Pterocliformes, Pteroclidae. The record is from RefSeq and is a predicted model, not a curated record. The transcript is spliced from 2 exons.